RNAcentral lists this transfer RNA (16 nucleotides) under Polythore procera. Its description in RNAcentral is "partial tRNA-Leu". Lineage: Eukaryota; Metazoa; Arthropoda; Insecta; Odonata; Polythoridae. RNAcentral also lists the same sequence under 1 other name. The record is from RNAcentral.
UUAAUAUGGCAGAUUA